Molecule: ribosomal RNA, 510 nt
Filed under: uncultured bacterium
Lineage: Bacteria
Description: partial 16S ribosomal RNA
Rfam family: Bacterial small subunit ribosomal RNA
Source: RNAcentral
GACGAACGCUGGCGGCGUGCUUAACACAUGCAAGUCGAACGAAGAGCGAUGGAAGCUUGCUUCUAUCAAUUUUAGUGGCGAACGGGUGAGUAACGCGUAAUCAACCUGCCCUUCAGAGGGGGACAACAGUUGGAAACGACUGCUAAUACCGCAUACGAUCCAAUCUCGGCAUCGGGACUGGAUGAAAGGUGGCCUCUAUUUAUAAGCUAUCACUGAAGGAGGGGAUUGCGUCUGAUUAGCUAGUUGGAGGGGUAACGGCCCACCAAGGCGAUGAUCAGUAGCCGGUCUGAGAGGAUGAACGGCCACAUUGGGACUGAGACACGGCCCAGACUCCUACGGGAGGCAGCAGUGGGGAAUCUUCCGCAAUGGACGAAAGUCUGACGGAGCAACGCCGCGUGAGUGAUGACGGCCUUCGGGUUGUAAAGCUCUGUUAAUCGGGACGAAUGGUUCUUGUGCGAAUAGUGCGAGGAUUUGACGGUACCGGAAUAGAAAGCCACGGCUAACUACGUG